CUUUGCUCUUAUUUGAUGACCUACGGACCCCCAAGGAAUAGCAUAAGGGAAGAAAGAAACAAUGGUAUUAAAACCACAAGUAUGAAGACAGCUGGAUCUCACCCAAUUGAGAGAACUGAUGUGUAGGCUCCUUCAUGCCCAUACCUAAAUCAGUCUUUCCCUUCCCAAUGGACAGAGAUGCAAAUCAAUGGGUAAUGUGCAAAAGAAAAGUU
This 212-nucleotide long non-coding RNA is filed under the name Ictidomys tridecemlineatus (thirteen-lined ground squirrel). Its description in RNAcentral is "lncRNA (ENSSTOG00000033936.1)". Lineage: Eukaryota; Metazoa; Chordata; Mammalia; Rodentia; Sciuridae. The record is from RNAcentral.